Molecule: non-coding RNA, 484 nt
Organism: Sturnus vulgaris (Common starling)
Lineage: Eukaryota; Metazoa; Chordata; Aves; Passeriformes; Sturnidae
Source: RefSeq, a predicted model, not a curated record
AAGGGUGCUGGAACCUGUGAAAAUGUACAAAAGCUGCUCAUUGAGAAAACAGACCUUUGGCUGCCCUUGGCAACAGCACGGGAUUAUGGAUUAGGAAUGGCAGGAACUGUCAGGUGUAAGAUACAUGUUGGUUUGGAGGACUUUUUUCCUCUCUACUUGUUUUUGCUGCCAACUGCUGCAUCUCAUAUCUGGGAAAGAACAGGUGCAGAGGCCAUCUUGGGACUGCAGUGCAUUGCCAGCAGCUUGCAGAGCUCCUGCAAGGAAUUUCAUGUUGCUGAUGAUUCCUCCCCUUGGCUGGGACAAUCAUGCUGAUGUUCAUGCUCCUCUCCAAAGGUUUGGUCAUUUCUGUGUUUUAUGAAGCUUUCUACACCCUGCACUUCAUGGGGCUGCAGCUUCACCUUUGGGCUGCUUUGGGAUGCAUUUUGUGUGUGCUCAGUAGUUGCUCCAUGCCCUUUCUGUUGCCCCUAUAACUGGUCUCAGUAAU